RNAcentral lists this ribosomal RNA (491 nucleotides) under uncultured bacterium. RNAcentral's name for it is "partial 16S ribosomal RNA". It matches the Rfam family "Bacterial small subunit ribosomal RNA", at positions 29 to 507 of the family's 1533-position model. The record is from RNAcentral.
GUGAACGCUGGCGGUAGGCCUAACACAUGCAAGUCGAACGGCAGCACAGUAAGAGCUUGCUCUUACGGGUGGCGGGUGGCGGACGGGUGAGGAAUACAUCGGAAUCUACUUUUUCGUGGGGGAUAACGUAGGGAAACUUACGCUAAUACCGCAUACGACCUACGGGUGAAAGCAGGGGAUCUUCGGACCUUGCGCGAUUGAAUGAGCCGAUGUCGGAUUAGCUAGUUGGCGGGGUAAAGGCCCACCAAGGCGACGAUCCGUAGCUGGUCUGAGAGGAUGAUCAGCCACACUGGAACUGAGACACGGUCCAGACUCCUACGGGAGGCAGCAGUGGGGAAUAUUGGACAAUGGGCGCAAGCCUGAUCCAGCCAUACCGCGUGGGUGAAGAAGGCCUUCGGGUUGUAAAGCCCUUUUGUUGGGAAAGAAAAGCAGCAGGUUAAUACCCCGCUGUUCCGACGGUACCCAAAGAAUAAGCACCGGCUAACUUCGUG